UCCCUGGUAGCUCAAUCGGCAGAGCGGGUGACUGUUAAUCACUAGGUUGGCGGUUCAAGUCCGUCCCGGGGAGCCA
RNAcentral lists this transfer RNA (76 nucleotides) under Oleidesulfovibrio alaskensis. RNAcentral's name for it is "Desulfovibrio alaskensis (biofilm metagenome) tRNA-Asn". It matches the Rfam family "tRNA". From Rfam's summary of the family: Transfer RNA (tRNA) molecules are approximately 80 nucleotides in length. Their secondary structure includes four short double-helical elements and three loops (D, anti-codon, and T loops). Further hydrogen bonds mediate the characteristic L-shaped molecular structure. tRNAs have two regions of fundamental functional importance: the anti-codon, which is responsible for specific mRNA codon recognition, and the 3' end, to which the tRNAs corresponding amino acid is attached (by aminoacyl-tRNA synthetases). tRNAs cope with the degeneracy of the genetic code in two manners: having more than one tRNA (with a specific anti-codon) for a particular amino acid; and 'wobble' base-pairing, i.e. permitting non-standard base-pairing at the 3rd anti-codon position. The record is from RNAcentral. Lineage: Bacteria; Pseudomonadati; Thermodesulfobacteriota; Desulfovibrionia; Desulfovibrionales; Desulfovibrionaceae. RNAcentral also lists the same sequence under 3 other names.